This is a long non-coding RNA of Brassica rapa (field mustard), 1991 nucleotides long. RefSeq lists it as uncharacterized. The record is from RefSeq and is a predicted model, not a curated record. Lineage: Eukaryota; Viridiplantae; Streptophyta; Magnoliopsida; Brassicales; Brassicaceae.
UCAUCUUCUCCUCUUUCUAUGUUCCACCAUCAUUACCUCCGACCACUAUACACAGAUACAUUCGCAUGAAACGAAGAACAAAGUGAAUUAGGGCUGGUGGACUGAUUCGAUCAAGAGUUUUUGCUUCUUUCAAUCAUUUAGAGGAAGGAAUCUUCAGAUAUCAGAGCUCAGGUCAGGCACUAUCUGAGUGGAGCGGAGACAAAAGUGAAUUCUCGAAUCAAGUCCGAAAGGUAUUUAGAAGAUGUGAAAGCUCCUAAGCAAGCUUUCCCUUCACACGUUUCUGUCAUGGUUUUAGAGGUGCUGAUCAGGCAUUCAAAAGAUCAAGGUCAUUUGCCUGUUAAAUUUACUCAGUUCAGACUUGAUCUUCUCAAGAAUGUUGAGAGCAAUGCUGAGGUCAAAGUUUUGGAUGUUGAUGCCCUUUUCAUAUCACACACCCAAGUGAACCAAGCAGCAAAACAUAGGUGGAGGACCUAUCGUGUCCUGUAAGAAUCCAUAGUAUGUUCUUCAUGAUGCUACUCUUUUUUCAACUUUUGUUUCAGUCACAAUGUGCUGACUCUCUCUUUAUUUUGCUGCUUACAUAUCAAACACAUGCCACAUUGAGUUGAUUUUGUCAAAGAAGGAAGAGCCUGUGAAGAAAUAGCGAAGCCAAAGAAAGGAGCUUCUUCCUGAGCUUUCGUGAUCGUUUGUGUUACAACGCUUGAUACACUUUGUUUACCUUUUUUUCACUUUGUUUACUUCUCUUUCAUUUAGACAAGUAACCGUAAUUGUAAAGAUAUAAUGAUGAUUGGUUUCUGGAUUACUCAAGCUUUAAACUCUUUACGCUUUUGAGGUAGAUUAACAUAUACAAAACUUUGAAAUAAGGUGCAUCUGAGUUGUAAUUUCGCCUAAAUUUGAUUGAUGUUUACUAGCUUUUCGUCCAAGUAAAAAAAGAUUUAACAACUUAAUUAUGUUGAGAACAUAUUUUCCUUAUUCAUUUAUUUUUGAAAACAGAAAGUAUUUUUGCUUCCCAUUUGUGAUUUUCAGGACACAUUAUUGUGUUGCUUUGCAAAUAAAUGGGCAAUACGAUUAUGGGUCUUAACCAAUUAAAACUAAUAGGAGUAUUAUGGAAGUUGAAAUUUAAAUAAUAAAACAUAGUAUAUAAUAUAUCUACAGAUAAUAUUAUAAUUAAAAAUAUAUAAAAACUCUAUUGUGGAAAUAUUAUUUUUUUAAAUGUAAUAUUGUAAUCUCAGUAACAGUUAAAAAGGUUUGUUUAAAUAAUUUGCUUAUAAAUUUUGGAUCUCAAACAUAUUAACAUUUAUAUAUAUGGAAUGUUGGAAUUUAAAAAAAAAACAGUAUAUAUUAUAUCCACAAACAAUAUUAUAAACAAAACUAUAUAUAAAAAAAACUAUGGUUUUUUUAUAAAUAAUUUUAUAUAUUCUAAUCUCGGUAACAAUUAGAAAGAUUUGUUUAAAUAAUUUCCGCCCUUGAAAAGGGCGGGUUACUAUCUAGUAUAAGUAUAUAACAAAGUGUUUUAUUGAAAUUAUCUAUGGGACCUACUUCAUCGUAAUUUCAGGUGAGAUUAAAUAAACGGUUAAUGCUUUGAAGCCGUUCACUGGGUUUAGUGGUCUAAAGUUCUUGCACAAAGUCAACCUUUUGGACCUUGCUUACGAUGCCGUUUUGCGAACUUUCUCCUUUUUUGUUCCCCUCGCAUCAUUUUUGUGUGUUCAAACGAUAUGAUUUAUCUUCUUAGGGUAUGACUGGUUUUCCCGCUACCAUCCGCAAACGCAGCUUUUGCGGUUGGUAGCAGUUGUUGGCGUUUUGCAACAAUCGCUCAAACUGUUCCAAACCGUUUCAAAUCGCUCCGAACCUCAUAAAUUCAAAAGCUGGUUCCAGCUAGCGUUUGCGGUUGCGGAAGGAUAAAAAAAAUUUCUUUUUUUCCAAAACAAUAUAAAUACAAAAAUAAAAAUAUUCAAUAAAAAAUUAAAUUAGAAUUAUAAAAAUGCUAAAAUAUA